Molecule: non-coding RNA, 81 nt
Organism: Boletus coccyginus
Lineage: Eukaryota; Fungi; Basidiomycota; Agaricomycetes; Boletales; Boletaceae
Source: the annotation of a GenBank genome assembly
GUCCUUGUCGAUUAGUGGUUAAAUCAUCACGUUGUGGAACACCAAACCGUGAAGCCGGAGGUUCGAAUCCUCCCUGGGACA